GGUUUUACAUACAAAUUUUUAUCAUUGUUUAUUAUGACUGUUUUGUAUUGUGCAAUUUUUUGUCAGGGUAUAAUCAGUGUUUACUUAAUAGUCAGAGCCACUCUUCUUUAUAGACCUUGGUUAAUUGAAUGCAAUCAGUUAAAACCGUCAUUCAACAUACUGAAUAUAAGUUGAAAACCCAUCAAGAUAAGUUCAUGCAUGUAUCUUUGAGGUGCUAGCUCAUACAAAAGGGGAGAAGGAAAGCGUGUAAGUAUGAUCGUUUCCUUUUGAAGCUAGUGAUCUGACUGUUUUCACAAUCGAAGAGGAAACUGCUAUAUGCAUAGUGAUGAUAGUUUGUUUCCGGUGACCUGUUGUUUAGUUUCAUGCGAUGUUUCAUUAUUUGAAAGAAACUGUAAUCUCGUGGAGGAUUGCAAUCUCUAGCUUCAAAAUGCAAUUCUAGAUUCUUUGGGAGCUGUUCUGA
Molecule: long non-coding RNA, 460 nt
Organism: Vigna angularis (adzuki bean)
Lineage: Eukaryota; Viridiplantae; Streptophyta; Magnoliopsida; Fabales; Fabaceae
Exons: 2
Source: RefSeq, a predicted model, not a curated record